Molecule: ribosomal RNA, 583 nt
Filed under: uncultured bacterium
Lineage: Bacteria
Description: bacterial SSU rRNA
Rfam family: Bacterial small subunit ribosomal RNA
Source: RNAcentral
ACGCUGGCGGCAGGCCUAACACAUGCAAGUCGAGCGCCGUAGCAAUACGGAGCGGCAGACGGGAGAGUAACACGUGGGAACGUGCCCUUUGGUUCGGAACAACCCAGGGAAACUUGGGCUAAUACCGGAUAAGCCCUUACGGGGAAAGAUUUAUCGCCGAAGGAUCGGCCCGCGUCUGAUUAGCUAGUUGGUGGGGUAAUGGCCCACCAAGGCGACGAUCAGUAGCUGGUCUGAGAGGAUGAUCAGCCUCACUGGGACUGAGACACGGCCCAGACUCCUACGGGAGGCAGCAGUGGGGAAUAUUGGACAAUGGGCGCAAGCCUGAUCCAGCCAUGCCGCGUGGGUGAUGAAGGCCCUAGGGUUGUAAAGCCCUUUCGGCGGGGAAGAUAAUGACGGUACCCGCAGAAGAAGCCCCGGCUAACUUCGUGCCAGCAGCCGCGGUAAUACGAAGGGGGCUAGCGUUGCUCGGAAUCACUGGGCGUAAAGCGCACGUAGGCGGAUUGCUAAGUCAGGGGUGAAAUCCUGGAGCUCAACUCCAGAACUGCCUUUGAUACUGGCGAUCUCGAGUCCGGGAGAGGUGAGU